GCAGCACUCCAGGGGAGGAAAAGAAGGGAAAACAUUCCCGUAAAGGUUACGGUGAGUUCUCGCUCCCGUAACUUCUCCGUCCGAGUUCCGAUCGCCGCACUGUUUGCCGUCACGCGUUCACUGCGUCGAGCUCUACGUUUCUACCGGAACAAUUUCUUUGGAUCUAAUUAGCUUGAGAAAAACGUUCAUUCUUGCUUAUGUGAAGCUUGGGUAAGGUUGUGAAUAAAUAAUUGGAGCUUGAAAUUGUGAAUAUUGGAACUUGGAGGAAGCUGAUUAGUUGAAUUUUGAAGGGGCUGCCUUGCUUUUAAAUAAUUUGCUUUGGUCGUUACGUGGAAAUCGGCCAAGAUGCAGAUCGAGAGGCAUCUCGUUAGGCGUCUGGACUCUUGAAGCGGAGUGAUUACUGGGUUAUUUUGUUAUGCUAUGAUGUAUAUUUAUGUACUUAGCUUUCUCUCCACAUAACUUAUUCUUUUUGAUCCUCCUAGAGGUGUAUGGAGAGGCAGGAUUUUGUAUAUGUACAUUUGGG
Molecule: long non-coding RNA, 523 nt
Organism: Arachis stenosperma
Lineage: Eukaryota; Viridiplantae; Streptophyta; Magnoliopsida; Fabales; Fabaceae
Exons: 4
Source: RefSeq, a predicted model, not a curated record